AGUACGUAUAAAUGUGUUGCACAUACAUACACGCUGUUUGAUGUAACUUUACACCGACACACUGAAGGGCGAUGAGCCAAUGUCCAGGAGGCACUCCGAGAUCAGUGACUCUAGUAAUCGGCGGGGCUCCGGGUCCCCCCGGUUGGUAGGUUACGUGUGCUCGUGGGAUGCACGGAGGAGAUGAAGCUUUUCGCUCGAUUACAACAUUCGCAACAUUGU
This is a non-coding RNA of Caenorhabditis elegans, 219 nucleotides long. NCBI's taxonomy places the organism in Eukaryota, Metazoa, Nematoda, Chromadorea, Rhabditida, Rhabditidae. The record is from Ensembl.